Molecule: ribosomal RNA, 324 nt
Filed under: Chlamydia suis
Lineage: Bacteria; Pseudomonadati; Chlamydiota; Chlamydiia; Chlamydiales; Chlamydiaceae
Description: partial 23S ribosomal RNA
Rfam family: Bacterial large subunit ribosomal RNA
Source: RNAcentral
GAGUCCGGGAGAUAGACAGCGGGGGCUAAGCUUCGUUGUCGAGAGGGGAACAGCCCAGACCGCCGAUUAAGGUCCCUAAUUUUAUGCUAAGUGAGUAAGGAAGUGAUGAUUCAAAGACAGUUGGAAUGUUGGCUUAGAGGCAGCAAUCAUUUAAAGAGUGCGUAACAGCUCACCAAUCGAGAAUCAUUGCGCCGAUAAUAAACGGGGCUAAGCAUAAAACCGACAUCGCGGGUGUGUCGUAAGGCACGCGGUAGGAGAGCGUAGUAUUCAGCAGAGAAGGUGUACCGAAAGGAGCGCUGGAGCGGAUACUAGUGAAGAUCCAUG